Molecule: ribosomal RNA, 465 nt
Filed under: Vreelandella stevensii
Lineage: Bacteria; Pseudomonadati; Pseudomonadota; Gammaproteobacteria; Oceanospirillales; Halomonadaceae
Description: partial 16S ribosomal RNA
Rfam family: Bacterial small subunit ribosomal RNA
Source: RNAcentral
CCUACGGGUGGCUGCAGUGGGGAAUAUUGGACAAUGGGGGCAACCCUGAUCCAGCCAUGCCGCGUGUGUGAAGAAGGCCCUCGGGUUGUAAAGCACUUUCAGUGAGGAAGAACGCCUGGUGGUUAAUACCCAUCAGGAAAGACAUCACUCACAGAAGAAGCACCGGCUAACUCCGUGCCAGCAGCCGCGGUAAUACGGAGGGUGCGAGCGUUAAUCGGAAUUACUGGGCGUAAAGCGCGCGUAGGUGGCUUGAUAAGCCGGUUGUGAAAGCCCCGGGCUCAACUUGGGAACGGCAUCCGGAACUGUCAAGCUAGAGUGCAGGAGAGGAAGGUAGAAUUCCCGGUGUAGCGGUGAAAUGCGUAGAGAUCGGGAGGAAUACCAGUGGCGAAGGCGGCCUUCUGGACUGACACUGACACUGAGGUGCGAAAGCGUGGGUAGCAAACAGGAUUAGAUACCCUUGUAGUC